Salvia splendens (bonfire salvia) is the source of this 3279-nucleotide long non-coding RNA. RefSeq lists it as uncharacterized. The transcript has 10 exons. The record is from RefSeq and is a predicted model, not a curated record. NCBI's taxonomy places the organism in Eukaryota, Viridiplantae, Streptophyta, Magnoliopsida, Lamiales, Lamiaceae.
GUGCCAUAUUUCAAGAAGAUUGCAUAGUUGCUUCUGAAUCACCUCCUCGUAUCAGAAUCAAGCUCAGGCCAUACUCAAAGGAUACAGGAUAUGAGGAUUCAGAUGUUUGUGUCCAGCUCUCUGUGAGAUGUUUACCAGGUAGGGCCUUAGUGAUAGCCAUAUAUUCAAGAAGACUCAACUUCUUGCAAGUGCUCUAACUGUCUAUCGGUAACUUCUGCUAAUUCUAAUGCUCGAGAAUGGCGCGUGAUGAUUUACAAUUUAGUGGAAGCUGCGCAAGAAUUCUUGUCUGAAGUUCUUCCACAAGAGCAGACUCGUGAAUCUGUAUGAAAAAUAUCUUUCUGAAAUUUCAGUUGCUAGCUCAUUUCCUGAUCAAGUGUUUUGCAAUCAUGCCACAGUGAUAAAUAAUUAGUAAUAUGAGACUUGGGGGAUAGGAACCUUGAAACUCAUGGAUUGUGUCAAGGCAAGAUGUAUGGGCUUUUUCUUUUUUGAUUCUAGACUACAAUUAAUAUUCCUCAAGUGUACUGGACUUUUUUUUUAUUUCGCCUUUGGGAGAGACGCAUGAGGGUCAUGCGUCUCCUUUUAAUGAAACGCAUGAGGGACAUGCGUCUUUUAUAAAGACGCAUGAGGGACAUGCGUCGUUUAAUUUUUAAUUUUUUUUUAUUUUUUUUAAAGAAGCAUAAGCGUCAUGCGUCACAGGAAAAGACGCAUAAGCGACAUGCGUCGCUAUUUUUUUUAAUUUUAUUAGACGACGCAUGAGCAUCAUGCGUCUUAGGGAGAGACGCAUGAGCCUCAUGUGUCUCUAAGUUGCAUAAAUUAGACGAGAGAGGCAGUAGCGGGCAUAACGCGAGAGAAAAGGCCGACGCGAGCAGAAACACAUAGCAGGCGCAAACUCAGCGAUUUCGGCGAUUUCUUGGCGAUUUUCCGUCAUAUUCCGUUAGAUUAGAUGGAGACUUCAAGUUCAAGGGGACAAUUAUUAUAUGGACCUGAAGACCCGUCCAUGCUAUAUCUGUAGAAACAUCACCUUUCAAAUAAAUUAUUGAAAGAUGGCACAACACAAGUUUUCAAAGUCCGCCGGACUGAAAGUAAGAGUUGGGAUGUCGACAUUCAUGAGAAUGUACGGUAUUGGCUUGACGCAUUUGGUUUUAAAGGUGUGAUGGAUUGUGGGAAGUCGAUGAAGGUCGACAAUGAGCUGAUCACGGCUUUGAUUGAGCGUUGGAGGCCGGAGACGCACACUUUCCAUCUACCGAUCGGAGAGGCGACGAUGACCUUGGAAGAUGUGCAAGUCAUUUGGGGCUUGAGAGCGGACGGUCGCGUUUUCACAGGGCGUGACCAUCAUGUCGGAUAUCUUGAUUGGCCAAGCAAGUGCUGAGAUUUGUUGGGAUGGAUACCAGAUACAUUCACAGAAACAAAGCAAGGCGGGUUGCUGAUGACCGCUCUGAUCAACUAGACUAGGAUGCCGCUGGGUGAUGACUUGCCUACAUAUGUAUACAUCCAAAGGGCACGUAUCCAUGCCCUAAUUUUGUUAGGAGGUCUCAUUCUACCUGACACCACGGGGUGUAAGGUACCCUUUAUGUGGGUGAACGCAUUCGUGGAUCCGGACGAGGUGCAGACUAUUAGCUGGGGAAGUGCGGCUUUGUCCUACCUUUAUCAUUAUCUGUGCGAGGCUUCCAUGGAUAAGAGGAAAUAGUUGGGCCGGCCUAUGAUUCUUCUGUAGCUAUGGGCGUGGGAAAGAAUGCCCACAUUGAGGCCGUCGUUCAUAGGAGCACGCGUGCACGAGCCAUAUACGCCAUGUGGCGCCAGGUGGAAAGGAACAACGCACAUAGGAAAUGCUCCUAGAUAAUCGGUUGAGCAUUACCGUGAUCAAAUAUCCUGAUUAGGCCCGACCAGUUUCUGUGGACUCCUUAUGCGCAUUGCAUACUACCUGACUACUGCAGUGAUGCAAAUGGAUGUUCCUUGUGCGACACGUACUUGGUGUGUUGGGCCUAUGUCGAGGCACACAAGGCUGGACGAGUGCGGCGACAGUUUAAUCGGUACCAGGAUAUUCCUCGACCUGUAGACAGGAUGCUCAAAAAUGCCGAUCAUUUGGACAAAAAUGAUCGGCAUGGUAAGAAGGGUAACAAUUGGGAAAAUACGCAUCAGUUCUACAUUGGGGAGUGGGACCUGAGGUAUGAGAGGUUCCAGGCUGCCCAAGAUGCCGCACCGAUGUCCAUGAAUAUUCCUAUGAGCCCGGCGUAUAUGGCGUGGUAUAACAAGAUUACGGUGACGUACCUGACUCAGUCUGGGGCACGGUCAACUGCUGGGAUGAACGAGUCGGCUUCUUCGAUGAGACUAUUUGUUGAGGGUUUUCAGCAGGUUUUCCAUUUAACUACUGAAGAUUAAAUGUCCUCCAAUCUACGAACAACGCUGAUGUCAUGGAGUACCCGGCUUCUCAACAUCAAGAUGUGGUCAUGCCUCAUCAACCAGAAGUAGUUCCACGGCGUCGUGGAGUGCCUGGUGUUCGGAUUGGGGGACACGGUUUCACAAAGCAGUUUAAGAUGUUGCAGCCGCAUCCCGAUUAUGUAGUACCAGAGCCGAUGAAUCCAGAGCAUGACCCACCCCAGUGGUCUUCAUACCCGGCGCAUGAGUCUCAGUCACAGUGGGACCGUCCCCUGUAUUCUCCAAGCUAGCCUGAGCCCGAUUGGAAUCGUCGCCCCUAUUCACAAAGCCAAGAUGUGCCGCAAUGGAGUGGAGCCCGAGCAUCAGUCGAUUCAUUCUUCCAGAAUUAUCAGUUCGUGCCUCCUGUACAAGUUGAAGAAGAAGAUGAUGAUGAAGGAGAAGAAGAAAAUGACGACAGAGAAGAGGGAAAUGAGGAAGAAGACGUUGUUCAGAGCAUUCAUGUCCAACCUCGACCAGCUGCGGAGGGUUCAUCACGCGGCGGGGUUGGGAAGAUCAUGAGCAAAGUGUACAAGAGAUUGUCAUCGAGGAAGAAUAAGGGGAUUGAACCGUCGAAAUACACUCCAUCGUCGUAUAAGUAGCACAUUUUUCAGAUGGCUGCUGUUGCUGCCUUGUGCGUACAGUAUGAAGCUGAUUUUCGGCCAAAUAUGAGCAUUGUGGUGAAAGCUGAUUUUCGGCCAAAUAGAUGGUUACUUUAGGCAUGACAGUGGUAAAAUAUGAGCAUUGAUGACGUGUAUUGUUUCCAUUGUUCAGUAGAAGAAUUAAAUACAAUCAUAUCAAUUUAAUAUGCACAUACUAUUCAAAUGCACGUACUAUUCAAAUAAUGUAGUAAUUUGUUGACUUUAA